AUUAUGUCCCACACAUGCCUC
RNAcentral lists this microRNA (21 nucleotides) under Vitis vinifera (wine grape). RNAcentral describes it as "vvi-miR3635-3p". Lineage: Eukaryota; Viridiplantae; Streptophyta; Magnoliopsida; Vitales; Vitaceae. The record is from miRBase by way of RNAcentral.